RNAcentral lists this long non-coding RNA (451 nucleotides) under Buteo japonicus. RNAcentral's name for it is "lncRNA (ENSBJAG00000004489.1)". Lineage: Eukaryota; Metazoa; Chordata; Aves; Accipitriformes; Accipitridae. The record is from RNAcentral.
UGCUGUUGGAGGGAGGAUGUGGGGCUCGGUGACCUUUCAUCUCGCCCUGCGUGGCACUUCAGGCACUCGGGUUACCCACAGGUCUUUUAGUAGGUGGCGUAUUGACUUUAGUCACAAAGGUCCAUCUUUUCAGCGCUCCACGGCCACGCGCAGAGCAUNGAUUUGAAAUUCCUGAUGGAGAUGCAGAAAAGUUAAUGUGUCCACAAGAGAUUGUAGAUUACAUUGCAGAUAAGAAGGAUGUUUAUGAAUAAAAACAGUUCUUCAAAGCUGAGCGAUGAUGUCUCUACCACCAGGACUGGGCUGGUGUCAGCGGGUAUGAAUAUAAACGCACAUGCUGCACCGUUGCUGCUUUCAUCAGAAAGUUGUACUUGGAUGUUGUAUUUAAAGCUGUCUGAAUAUGUUGUCCUUUAAAAACAAGAAAAAAAAGGAAUAAAUAUGUAAGAAAGACCAU